GACGAACGCUGGCGGCGUGCCUAAUACAUGCAAGUCGAACGCUUCUUUCCUCCCGAGUGCUUGCACUCAAUUGGAAAGAGGAGUGGCGGACGGGUGAGUAACACGUGGGUAACCUACCCAUCAGAGGGGGAUAACACUUGGAAACAGGUGCUAAUACCGCAUAGCAGUUUAUGCCGCAUGGCAUAAGAGUGAAAGGCGCUUUCGGGUGUCGCUGAUGGAUGGACCCGCGGUGCAUUAGCUAGUUGGUGAGGUAACGGCUCACCAAGGCCACGAUGCAUAGCCGACCUGAGAGGGUGAUCGGCCACACUGGGACUGAGACACGGCCCAGACUCCUACGGGAGGCAGCAGUAGGGAAUCUUCGGCAAUGGACGAAAGUCUGACCGAGCAACGCCGCGUGAGUGAAGAAGGUUUUCGGAUCGUAAAACUCUGUUGUUAGAGAAGAACAAGGACGUUAGUAACUGAACGUCCCCUGACGGUAUCUAACCAGAAAGCCACGGCUAACUACGUG
Molecule: ribosomal RNA, 508 nt
Filed under: uncultured bacterium
Lineage: Bacteria
Description: partial 16S ribosomal RNA
Rfam family: Bacterial small subunit ribosomal RNA
Source: RNAcentral